Molecule: non-coding RNA, 29 nt
Filed under: Mus musculus (house mouse)
Lineage: Eukaryota; Metazoa; Chordata; Mammalia; Rodentia; Muridae
Source: RNAcentral
UGCCACAACACAGUAUCACCAACCUGUGA